This 497-nucleotide ribosomal RNA is filed under the name uncultured bacterium. RNAcentral's name for it is "partial 16S ribosomal RNA". It matches the Rfam family "Bacterial small subunit ribosomal RNA", at positions 28 to 507 of the family's 1533-position model. The record is from RNAcentral.
GAUGAACGCUGGCGGCGUGCCUAAUACAUGCAAGUCGAGCGAACAGACGAGGAGCUUGCUCCUCUGACGUUGGCGGCGGACGGGUGAGUAACACGUGGAUAACCUACCUAUAAGACUGGGAUAACUUCGGGAAACCGGAGCUAAUACCGGAUAAUAUAUUGAACCGCAUGGUUCAAUAGUGAAAGACGGUUUUGCUGUCACUUAUAGAUGGAUCCGCGCCGCAUUAGCUAGUUGGUAAGGUAACGGCUUACCAAGGCAACGAUGCGUAGCCGACCUGAGAGGGUGAUCGGCCACACUGGAACUGAGACACGGUCCAGACUCCUACGGGAGGCAGCAGUAGGGAAUCUUCCGCAAUGGGCGAAAGCUUGACGGAGCAACGCCGCGUGAGUGAUGAAGGUCUUCGGAUCGUAAAACUCUGUUAUUAGGGAAGAACAAAUGUGUAAGUAACUAUGCACGUCUUGACGGUACCUAAUCAGAAAGCCACGGCUAACUACGUG